UUUUACUCCUACGGGAGGCAGCAGUGGGGAAUAUUGCACAAUGGGCGAAAGCCUGAUGCAGCGACGCCGCGUGAGGGAUGACGGCCUUCGGGUUGUAAACCUCUUUCAGUAGGGAAGAAGCCCUCUUUGGGGGUGACGGUACUUGCAGAAGAAGCGCCGGCUAACUACGUGCCAGCAGCCGCGGUAAUACGUAGGGCGCAAGCGUUAUCCGGAAUUAUUGGGCGUAAAGAGCUCGUAGGCGGUUUGUCGCGUCUGCUGUGAAAGACCGGGGCUCAACUCCGGUUCUGCAGUGGGUACGGGCAGACUAGAGUGCAGUAGGGGAGACUGGAAUUCCUGGUGUAGCGGUGAAAUGCGCAGAUAUCAGGAGGAACACCGAUGGCGAAGGCAGGUCUCUGGGCUGUAACUGACGCUGAGGAGCGAAAGCAUGGGGAGCGAACAGGAUUAGAUACCCUGGUAGUCCAUGCCGUAAACGUUGGGCACUAGGUGUGGGGGACAUUCCACGUUUUCCGCGCCGUAGCUAACGCAUUAAGUGCCCCGCCUGGGGAGUACGGCCGCAAGGCUAAAACUCAAAGGAAUUGACGGGGGCCCGCACAAGCGGCGGAGCAUGCGGAUUAAUUCGAUGCAACGCGAAGAACCUUACCAAGGCUUGACAUGGACCGGAAAGACCCUGAAAUCACGUGCCCCCGCCGG
Molecule: ribosomal RNA, 690 nt
Filed under: Arthrobacter sp.
Lineage: Bacteria; Bacillati; Actinomycetota; Actinomycetes; Micrococcales; Micrococcaceae
Description: bacterial SSU rRNA
Rfam family: Bacterial small subunit ribosomal RNA
Source: RNAcentral